GUGAGUGUAGUUCAGUUGGUUAGAACGCUGGAUUGUGGUUCCAGAGGUCGGGGGUUCGAAUCCCCUCACUCACCCCA
RNAcentral lists this transfer RNA (77 nucleotides) under Dethiosulfovibrio peptidovorans. RNAcentral describes it as "tRNA-His". It matches the Rfam family "tRNA". From Rfam's summary of the family: Transfer RNA (tRNA) molecules are approximately 80 nucleotides in length. Their secondary structure includes four short double-helical elements and three loops (D, anti-codon, and T loops). RNAcentral also lists the same sequence under 3 other names. The record is from RNAcentral. Lineage: Bacteria; Thermotogati; Synergistota; Synergistia; Synergistales; Dethiosulfovibrionaceae.